AAGGGAGUAGAUAAAAUGAAGAGGUGGAGUUUGUCAUUUACUAAUUUUCUCUGAGAAUGGGAAAAUAAAUGGACAUGUAACUAUCACCAGCGGCAAUAUACAGUACAUAUCACUUUCUGGUGCUGUUCCUCGUAACAAAUCGAGUUACAGCUGGUGCUUCAGGAACACCAAAAACUACAGCAAAACAGAAAAAAAAUAAUUAUAAAACUUUCGUAUUUAUAUCUGCAGUUACAGAAUCCAACAAGAUUACAUAUACAAAAAAAGGCACAUGCCCCAAAUCAGGCAUGGUGGUAAAAAGCAACAGACAGGUAGGUUUCAUAAGUCAAAGAUGUUAUUCUGGCAUGUAGCAAGCAGCAGCAGGCUUUUAUGCAGAAGCAUCACGUAGAGUUGUUAACAGAUUUUAGUGGAUACGAUCCCAUACAAAUCAUUUACAAGCCACAAUUAGUUUACUAUUUACAUAAGUCAUUUCUCAUUUAUCAGGUUAAAUCUGUCUCUUCUAAUGGCAUUACCUUUGCUGGUUAGUAGUUUUAUAAGCCCCUUCCAUCCUGAGGCUUUGGAAGAUUUGGGUCUUUUU
This is a non-coding RNA of Tinamus guttatus (white-throated tinamou), 574 nucleotides long. Lineage: Eukaryota; Metazoa; Chordata; Aves; Tinamiformes; Tinamidae. The record is from RefSeq and is a predicted model, not a curated record.